AUAGACUGGUGGCUUAAACAAUAGUCAUUUAUUUUCUCCUGGCUCUGGAGGCUGGGAGAUCCAAGAUCAAGAUGAUGGCGAAUUAGGUUGUUAGUGAGGGUGCUCUUCCUGGCUUGCAGAAGGCUGUCUGCUCACUGUGUCGUCAUGUGACCACAGAGAGAGAGCAAGUCUGUUCUUAUGAAGACACCAAUCCUAUCAGAUUAGGGCCCCACCCUUAUGAUCUCAGUUAACCUUAAUUACUUCUAUAAAGGCCAGGUCUCCAAAUACAGUCACACGGGGAGCUAGGGCUUCAACCUAUGGCUUUUGGGGGAUACAGUUCAGUCCAUAGCAGUGGGGAAAGGAUGUGACUCAGUCUAGAGAGACUCAAGGAGGGAAUGCUUAGAUAGGAGCAUGGAGGGCGUGCCUGGUGAAGGGAACAGUAUGGCACAGCUUCAGAGGCAAGGGUGAGCCAGCAGCAAGGGGCUGGCUAUGGCCGGUACAAAAAGCAUGUGCUCGUGGGAAAUAGGCACCAAAGAAGGCCCAGAGAGGUUUAACAACUUCCUCAGAAUCACACAGCUUCCAAAUGGUUGGGUUGGGUUUACAUUUAGGCGGUCUUGCUCCAGAGCCAGUGCUCCUAACCUUUGCAAGCCACGAACCUCAAGAAAGUGGAGAAGGAAACGCUGGGAAAUCUGGAAGUCAGACAUGAGAGCUAAUGCUGGCAGCUGUUGGGAUGUCCUCUUCCAGGAAUGGUGAUGAGUUUCCCUGGAUCCAGCCCUGGCUUGGCUGAGAUGAUGAAGGUUUAAGAAGCAGCAUCAUCAGCGAACUGUGUUUUGAAGAUUUGAGGGAAGGGCUGACCUCAGGAUUUUAUACUAGUUGCUGACCUCCAUAACAGCAGACAAAAUUGGAAGCAAGAGUGAUUUUGGAGGAGUCACACUUAGAUGUUUCCCUUACCUAUUUCUGUUCUGGAAAUUUAAAAAUCUUACUUCUCGUGACAGUCCUACAUGAAAAAUUAAAAAUCACAAGGAUUCAUGGAUGGAAAA
Molecule: long non-coding RNA, 1019 nt
Filed under: Homo sapiens (human)
Lineage: Eukaryota; Metazoa; Chordata; Mammalia; Primates; Hominidae
Description: long intergenic non-protein coding RNA 2028
Source: RNAcentral